This 22-nucleotide microRNA is filed under the name Drosophila melanogaster (fruit fly). RNAcentral describes it as "dme-miR-1002-3p". Lineage: Eukaryota; Metazoa; Arthropoda; Insecta; Diptera; Drosophilidae. The record is from miRBase by way of RNAcentral.
GCAUUGUAUGACCUACUUAACU